CCUGGGUAUGUUGGCGCACGCCUGUAAUCCCAGUGGCUCGGGAGGCUGAGGCGGGAGGAUUGGGAGUUCAAGGCCAGCCUCAGCAACUUAGCAAGGCCCUAAGCAACUUAGCAAGACCCUGUCUCUA
This 127-nucleotide small RNA is filed under the name Marmota monax (woodchuck). Lineage: Eukaryota; Metazoa; Chordata; Mammalia; Rodentia; Sciuridae. The record is from RNAcentral.